UCAAGUGUCUUAAGGGCAUUUGGUGGAUGCCUUGGCAUGCACAGGCGAUGAAGGACGUGAUACGCUGCGAUAAGCGUCGGGGAGGUGCGAAUACCCUUUGAUCCGACGAUUUCCGAAUGGGGCAACCCACCUUAGAUAGCUAGAAAAUUUGAAUUGUUGGCGCGCAAGCAAGAACAGUUCAACUUUCUAGUUAUCGUAAUAAGGUAUCUAAUUCUGAAUACAUAGGGGUUAGAAGCGAACCUGGGGAACUGAAACAUCUAAGUACCCAGAGGAAAGGACAUCAAACGAGACUCCGCUAGUAGUGGCGAGCGAACGCGGACCAGGCCAGUGGCUUAUGUGAGUAAAGUGGAACAAUCUGGAAAGGUUGGCUAAAGUGGGUGAUAGCCCCGUACACGUAGAACGAUCAUAAGUCCUUGAGUAGGGCGGGACACGUGAAAUCCUGUCUGAACAUGGGUCGACCACGAUCCAAGCCUAAGUACUCGUGCAUGACCGAUAGCGAACCAGUACCGUGAGGGAAAGGUGAAAAGCACCCCGACGAGGGGAGUGAAAUAGUACCUGAAACCGAAUGCCUACAAACAGUUGGAGCCCAAGAUCAGUUCUGGGUGACAGCGUACCUUUUGUAUAAUGGGUCAGCGACUUAGUCUGACGAGCAAGCUUAAGCCGGUAGGUGUAGGCGUAGCGAAAGCGAGUCUGACAGGCGUUCAGUUCGUCGGAUUAGACCCGAAACCAAGUGAUCUAGCCAUGAGCAGGUUGAAGGUACGGUAACACGUACUGGAGGACCGAACCCAUAUCUGUUGCAAUAGAUCGGGAUGACUUGUGGNUAGGGGUGAAAGSCCAAUCAAACUUGGAGAUAGCUGGUUCUCCGCGAAAUCUAUUUAGGUAGAGCGUCCAGCGAAUACCCCCGGGGGUAGAGCACUGAAUGGGCUAUGGGGACUCACCGUCUUACUGAUCCUAAUCAAACUCCGAAUACCGGGGAGUACUACUGGGCAGACACACGGCGGGUGCUAACGUCCGUCGUGAAGAGGGCAACAACCCUGACCACCAUCUAAGGUCCCUAAGUUAUGGCUAAGUGGGAAAGGAUGUGAGGAUCCCAAAACAACCAGGAUGUUGGCUUAGAAGCAGCCAUCAUUUAAAGAAAGCGUAACAGCUCACUGGUCUAAAUAAGGGUCUUUGCGCCGAAAAUGUACCGGGGCUAAAGCCAUACACCGAAGCUGUGGAUGCACGUAUGUGCGUGGUAGCGGAGCGUUCCGUAAGCCUGUGAAGGGACAGUCGUGAGACAUCCUGGAGGUAUCGGAAGUGAGAAUGCUGACAUGAGUAACGAUAAAGGGAGUGAGAGACUCCCUCGCCGAAAGUCCAAGGGUUCCUGCUUAAAGUUAAUCUGAGCAGGGUUAGCCGGCCCCUAAGGCGAGGCCGAAAGGCGUAGUCGAUGGGAACCACGUUAAUAUUCGUGGGCCUGCAGGUAGUGACGGAUUGCGUGUGUUGUCAGGUCUUAUUGGAUUGAUCUGGCAGCGAAGCGGUUCCAGGAAAUAGCUCCUGCAUAUAGACCGUACCCUAAACCGACACUGGUGGACUGGUAGAGAAUACCAAGGCGCUUGAGAGAACUGCGUUGAAGGAACUCGGCAAAAUGCACGCGUAACUUCGGAAGAAGCGUGACCUCCAUUUAGGCAACUAGGUGGAGGUGGCACAGACCAGGGGGUAGCGACUGUUUACCAAAAACACAGGGCUCUGCGAAGUCGCAAGACGACGUAUAGGGUCUGACGCCUGCCCGGUGCUGGAAGGUUAAGAGGAGAUGUGCAAGCAUUGAAUUGAAGCCCCAGUAAACGGCGGCCGUAACUAUAACGGUCCUAAGGUAGCGAAAUUCCUUGUCGGGUAAGUUCCGACCUGCACGAAUGGCGUAACGACUUCCCCGCUGUCUCCAACGCAGACUCAGUGAAAUUGAAUUC
This 1943-nucleotide ribosomal RNA is filed under the name Stealth virus 1. RNAcentral's name for it is "bacterial LSU rRNA". It matches the Rfam family "Bacterial large subunit ribosomal RNA", at positions 1 to 2049 of the family's 2925-position model. The record is from RNAcentral. Lineage: Duplodnaviria; Heunggongvirae; Peploviricota; Herviviricetes; Herpesvirales; Orthoherpesviridae.